This is a long non-coding RNA of Mus musculus (house mouse), 561 nucleotides long. RefSeq annotates it as predicted gene 14167. The transcript is spliced from 3 exons. Lineage: Eukaryota; Metazoa; Chordata; Mammalia; Rodentia; Muridae. The record is from RefSeq and is marked validated.
ACAGACCCCCGGAUGCAGCUGCGGCGGAAGGCGCGUCCUGUUGGCUACUCCCGGUUUUCCUCUGCGUUUCUCCGCCUCGGAGACGCCGCAGUAAUAACGGGCCCACCAGCUACUGACGAGCUCACUCAGAGAUGCUUUACUUGCGCACACCUAACUAAUUGCCCUGUAAGGACGAUAGCUGUGAGUAGGCCUUGUACCUGUGGAACCAAGGAAACGUCUGCUGAAUUCAGAAAUUCAGAAGCUGGAUCCUGCCCUCUGGCCCUCUGGGACUGAGGAAUUGUACCUUAGGGGUGCACACCUUGGAGAAAGCACACACCUCCAGUUUGUUGGACAGCAGGAUCAAAAACCAACCCACCAACACCUUAAAAACAUAUGUAUUUAUUUUAUGGAGGCAUCCUCUGAUAAAGAAUGCUAAGACCUUACCAAAGAUUUCACAGGGACACAGAAGACAAGCAGGGAAUGAAGAUCCAGCCUGCAACCAUCUUAGGCUUAAAAGCCAUCUUAUCAUAAAGACAAAGGAGGUCCAUUCCUAUUUAUGAUUAAACUUCUGUUUUUCAAGGA